Molecule: ribosomal RNA, 253 nt
Filed under: uncultured prokaryote
Description: partial 16S ribosomal RNA
Rfam family: Bacterial small subunit ribosomal RNA
Source: RNAcentral
UACGGGGGGGGCAAGCGUUGUUCGGAAUUACUGGGCGUAAAGGGCUCGUAGGUGGCCAACUAAGUCAGACGUGAAAUCCCUCGGCUUAACCGGGGAACUGCGUCUGAUACUGGAUGGCUUGAGUUCGGGAGAGGGAUGCGGAAUUCCAGGUGUAGCGGUGAAAUGCGUAGAUAUCUGGAGGAACACCGGUGGCGAAGGCGGCAUCCUGGUUGGAUACUGACGCUGAGACGCGAAAGCGUGGGGAGCAAACGGG